UUAUGUCUAAAUGUGUAGGUAGCAUUAAUAUUCUGAUAGAACUCACAACAAAAAAACUGAGAAGUUUACUAUUAUGAAAAUGCAGAUACUAUAAUUCUUCUGCCUCAUAGUUAAUGUUGCACCUUUUAUCUAAAUAUUUACAGUGACAAGGUUUCAAAGUAUUGUUGAUAGUGUAACUACUGAGCUAUUUUCUGUUGGACAUGCCUGGUAUGCAGCAACACAUGAGCAUUUCUGAAACUUAUAUCACACUAUUAAUGCAUAUUUAUUUGUUUCCUGUUAAUCAGGUUAGGGAGUUAUUGCCACUAACAAAAUUACAAAAUUUGAAAUGAUGACCAUGUCUAAUAGGUUUUUUUUCUGCAUUUUCAAGGAAUCCCGUCGGAUGAGUUCAUUCGAAAACCUUGCCUCUAACCCUGGCGUUACGGACGUUGGAGAACCUGUUUUUAACACCACAAAAAAGAUUGCAAAUGGAUGCAAUGCUGCUGAAAUUUUCCCAGGAUUCUUCCAGAGCAACAAAGUUGCAGUGAAAAGAGUUGCAAAGCAUAUUUCUCAAAAUGAGAUUAAAAUGGCACAUGUCCUAUGUUCAGAAACAUUCAAAGCAGAACAUCUUUUACAACCAAUUGCAGUGUUGGAAGAUAAUUACUUUGCUUAUUUUGUCUCCCCUCUCUGCAAAUACAGUCUGGCGGAGGUAAUUGAAAACAAGAACUUUCCUGACAGAGAAAGUUUGACUGAGGCUCAAAGACUGGGGAUCUGCCAGGAACUACUGCAAGGACUACAAGAACUCCAUUCACGCGGGAUUUUGCACAGAGACCUGAAGCCCGAAAACAUUUUGUUUGAUAUCAGCAACAAAUUGUUUAUCGCAGAUUUUGGAGCAAGCAGGAAACUGGAUUUGGCACAAUCAGCUUUGCAGUCUCAAAUGGCUGGAUCUUUGUCUUGGUCAAGUUAUGAAGAUGUUUGAGGCAUGCAAUACAAAUACAAGAAAGAGUCAGAUAUCCAGGUGUGCCAUAUCAAGAUGCUGAUUAGACACCAUGAUUAGUGCACAGGUGUGCCUUAGACUGCCCACAAUAAAAGGCCACUCUGAAAGGUGCAGUUUUAUCACACAGCACAAUGCCACAGAUGUGGCAAGAUUUGAGGGAGCGUGCAAUUGGCAUGCUGAC
Molecule: long non-coding RNA, 1154 nt
Organism: Acanthochromis polyacanthus (spiny chromis)
Lineage: Eukaryota; Metazoa; Chordata; Actinopteri; Pomacentridae
Exons: 3
Source: RefSeq, a predicted model, not a curated record